RNAcentral lists this small nuclear RNA (151 nucleotides) under Carlito syrichta (Philippine tarsier). Its description in RNAcentral is "U12 minor spliceosomal RNA (ENSTSYG00000033600.1)". It matches the Rfam family "U12 minor spliceosomal RNA". Rfam says of the family: Although the U12 sequence is very divergent from that of U2, the two are functionally analogous. Lineage: Eukaryota; Metazoa; Chordata; Mammalia; Primates; Tarsiidae. The record is from Rfam by way of RNAcentral.
AUGCUUUAAACUUAUGAGUAAGGGAAAAUAACAAUUCAGGGUGACGCCCGAAUCUUCAUUGCUAAUGUGAGAUGAAUUUUUGAGCAGGUAAAGGUUGCCCUUAAGGUGACCCACCUACUUUGUGGGAUGCCUGAGAGUGGCGAUCUGCCUG